This 253-nucleotide ribosomal RNA is filed under the name uncultured bacterium. Its description in RNAcentral is "partial 16S ribosomal RNA". It matches the Rfam family "Bacterial small subunit ribosomal RNA", at positions 524 to 776 of the family's 1533-position model. The record is from RNAcentral.
UACGUAGGUGGCAAGCGUUGUCCGGACUUACUGGGUGUAAAGGGCGUGUAGCCGGGUUGACAAGUCAGAUGUGAAAUCCUGCGGCUUAACCGCAGAACUGCAUUUGAAACUGUUGAUCUUGAGUACUGGAGAGGCAGACGGAAUUCCUAGUGUAGCGGUGAAAUGCGUAGAUAUUAGGAGGAACACCAGUGGCGAAGGCGGUCUGCUGGACAGCAACUGACGGUGAGGCGCGAAAGCGUGGGGAGCAAACAGG